GGCGUGGCAGGGGCAGGUCAAUCACCCCGAGGCUUCAAGGCCUCUGGCAGGGCGGUGUGCUCCCCCUCCCCUGUGCUCGGUGCUGAUAACGUUGUUAUCAGGAGUGUCCGCUGAGCUGUGGCUUCCCCAUGCCAUACAAACACUCACAGGCAGCACUGCUGUCAGGAAGAUGGAGGCUGGGCUGGGAGGCUUGUUUUCAAGGCUGCGAGUGUCAACCACACAGCGCUGAGCAGAACAGACUCGGCCGAGCAGAUCCUCCAUCUCCCACCUUCAUCCUCUUCCCAACUGAAGUCAGAGGCAGGAGUGAGACCAGAGGUUGGCCUGAGAGUGGAGAGGAGUGAGGAAUGUAGCUGUUCUAGGGCCCCAGGCUGCUCAGAAUCCAUGGCAAAUCACUGGAAAGCAGCAGGCUGGCUUUACUGUGGUUGUCCCUGUGGCCGUUGGCUGACGUUGCUGAAAUUCCAGGCCUCCGGAGUGUCCACACAUCCACGGAGGGGAAAGCCUGUUGCAGACCAGCCACCACGGCCCUGCAGCUCAGGACCUUGCUCCUGAAGCCCGGAGUCCUGCCCUGGGGGCAGUCCUCAGCCAGGACUCACUCCCGAGAAGAACGAGAGGGGAAGCGCCACCAGGCCAGGAUGCCAGCUAGCAGCGCCCUCCAGUAAUGUCCUGGAGGGAGCAUCUCAUUCGUGCCAAACUCACUACUUCUAAUUCGUCAUCAUGAUUCUUCACAACGAAGAAAACCUCCAAGCCAGGAACCAGUGCCUUCCUGGGGCAUGGCAGGCCUCCCUCUGGCCUGAGCGGGCAGCUCUGUCCAGACCUGGGCUGUUCCAAAGGCGUGUGACUGUGUGACUGUCCUGCACACAGCCGGGUUGUGCUUGAGGCUGCAUUUACGGUGGAGGCGGAGGGUUCCUGGGGUUCCCCCAUCAUCGAUCAUUUCAUCGUGGAUACUCUCAUCAUUGAUAACUUCAUCGUUGAUACUUUUUUUUUUUUUUUUGAGACGGAGUCUCUCGCUCUGUCGCCCAGGCUAGAGUGCAAUGGCUCGAUCUCAGCUCACUGCAACCUCCA
This is a long non-coding RNA of Rhinopithecus roxellana (golden snub-nosed monkey), 1062 nucleotides long. RefSeq lists it as uncharacterized. Lineage: Eukaryota; Metazoa; Chordata; Mammalia; Primates; Cercopithecidae. The transcript is spliced from 3 exons. The record is from RefSeq and is a predicted model, not a curated record.